AGUGAACGCUGGCGGUAGGCCUAACACAUGCAAGUCGAACGGCAGCACAGUAAGAGCUUGCUCUUACGGGUGGCGAGUGGCGGACGGGUGAGGAAUACAUCGGAAUCUACUUUUUCGUGGGGGAUAACGUAGGGAAACUUACGCUAAUACCGCAUACGACCUACGGGUGAAAGCAGGGGAUCUUCGGACCUUGCGCGAUUGAAUGAGCCGAUGUCGGAUUAGCAAGUUGGCGGGGUAAGGCCCACCACUGCGACGAUCCGUAGCUGGUUUGAGAGGAUGCGCAGCCACACUGGAACUGAGACACGGUCCUAACUCCUACGGGAAGCAGCAGUGGGGAAUAUUGGACAAUGGGCGCAAGCCUGAUCCAGCCAUACCGCGUGGGUGAAGAAGGCCUUCGGGUUGUAAAGCCCUUUUGUUGGGAAAGAAAAGCAGCAGGUUAAUACCCCGCUGUUCUGACGGUACCCAAAGAAUAAGCACCGGCUAACUUCGUG
This 491-nucleotide ribosomal RNA is filed under the name uncultured bacterium. RNAcentral describes it as "partial 16S ribosomal RNA". It matches the Rfam family "Bacterial small subunit ribosomal RNA", at positions 29 to 507 of the family's 1533-position model. The record is from RNAcentral.